This 1445-nucleotide ribosomal RNA is filed under the name uncultured Bordetella sp. RNAcentral's name for it is "partial 16S-23S ribosomal RNA intergenic spacer". It matches the Rfam family "Bacterial small subunit ribosomal RNA". Lineage: Bacteria; Pseudomonadati; Pseudomonadota; Betaproteobacteria; Burkholderiales; Alcaligenaceae. The record is from RNAcentral.
AGUCGAACGGCAGCACGGACUUCGGUCUGGUGGCGAGUGGCGAACGGGUGAGUAAUGUAUCGGAACGUGCCUAGUAGCGGGGGAUAACUACGCGAAAGCGCGCUAAUACCACAUACGCCCUUCCAGGAAAGCGGGGACCUUCGGGCCUCGCACUAUUGGAAGCGGCCGAUAUCGGAUUAGCUAGUUGGUGAGGUAACGGCUCACCAAGGCGACGAUCCGUAGCUGGUUUGAGAGGACGACCAAACCACUGGGACUGAGACACGGCCCAGACUCCUGCAGGAGGCAGCAGUGAGGAAUUUUGGACAAUGGGGGAAACCCUGAUCCAGCCAUCCCGCGUGUGCGAUGAAGAGGCCUUGGGUUGUAAAGCACUUUUUGGCAGGAAAGAAACGGCACGGGAUAAUACCCCGAUGCAACUGACGUACCUGCAGAAUAAGCGCGGCUAACUACGUGCCAGCAGCCGCGUGUUUUACGUAGGGUGCAAGCGUUAAUCGGAAUUACUGGGCGUAAGCGUGCGCAGGCGGUUCGGAAAGAAGAUGUGAAAUCCCAGAGCUUAACUUUGGAACUGCAUUUUUAACUACCGAGCUAGAGUGUGUCAGAGGGAGGUGGAAUUCCCGCGCAUCGUAGCAGUGAGAGUAACGUAAUGGAAAAUGCUGCGGAGGAACACCGAUGGCGAAAGGCAGCCUCCUGGGAUAACACUGACGCUCAUGCACGCAAAAAGCGUGGGGAGCAAACAGGAUUAGAUACCCUGAUGGUCCACCCUAAACGAUGUCGACAGCUGUUGGGGCCUUUGGGCCUUGGUGGCGCAACUAACGCGUGAAGUUGACCGCCUGGGGAGUACGGUCGCAAGAUUAAAACUCAAAGAAUUGACGGGGACCACCGCACAAGCGCGAGCGGAUGAUGUGGGAUAAUUCGAUGCAACGCGAAAAACACCUACCCUUAAUGUCUGGAAUGCCGAAGAGAUUUGGCAGUGCUCGCGAGAACAGGUUACAGGUGCUGCAUGGCUGUCGUCAGCUCGUGUCGUGAGAUGUUGGGUUAAGUCCCGCAACGAGCGCAACCCGCUGUCAUUAGUUGCUACGAAAGGGCACUCUAAUGGGGCGCGGUGAACAAACCGGAGGAAGGUGGGGAUGACGUCAAGUCCUCAUGGCCCUUAUGGGUAGGGCUUCACACGUCAUACAAUGGUCGGGACAGAGGGUCGCCGAACCCGCGAGAGGGAGCCAAUCCCAGAAACCCGAUCGUAGUCCGGAUCGCAGUCUGCAAGCUCGACGCUGCGUGAAGUCAGAAUCGCUAGUAAUCGCGGAUCAAUAUGUCGCGGUGAAUACGUUCCAGAUUGUGUACACACCGCCCGUCACACCAUGGGAGUGGGUUUUGCAGAAGUAGUUAGCCUAACCGCAAGAGGCGAUUACCACGGUAGGAUUCAUAGCUGGGGUGAAGUCGUAACAAGGUAG